Molecule: transfer RNA, 363 nt
Filed under: uncultured Microcystis sp.
Lineage: Bacteria; Bacillati; Cyanobacteriota; Cyanophyceae; Chroococcales; Microcystaceae
Description: partial 16S-23S ribosomal RNA intergenic spacer
Rfam family: tRNA (bases 135-208)
Source: RNAcentral
AAGGGAGACCUAAUUCAGGUAGGAGACGAAAAAAAAGUAGUCGCUACCAAGAAUCAAUCCCAAAAGGUCGGAGCGAGGCGAAAUUGGCUUUCAAACUAGGUUCUGGGUUCACACAAGACCUGAAUCAGGAACAAGGGCUAUUAGCUCAGGUGGUUAGAGCGCACCCCUGAUAAGGGUGAGGUCCCUGGUUCGAGUCCAGGAUGGCCCACCUGUACAGGUGGCAAAAAGAAAGAAAAGAAGCGAGGAAUCAGCACCUUAUCUUACUGACAUAGUAAGAGAGAAUGCUGGCNCUGAGUAAAGAGUCCAGAGGAACCUUGAAAACUGCAUAGAGCUAGGUGAAAAAGCCAAAAAAGAAGACCGCAA